CCUACGGGACGCAGCAGUGAGGAAUAUUGGUCAAUGGGCGCGAGCCUGAACCAGCCAAGUCGCGUGAGGGAAGACGGUCCUAUGGAUUGUAAACCUCUUUUGUCGGGGAGCAAAAGACGCCACGUGUGGCGUUCCGAGAGUACCCGAAGAAAAAGCAUCGGCUAACUCCGUGCCAGCAGCCGCGGUAAUACGGAGGAUGCGAGCGUUAUCCGGAUUUAUUGGGUUUAAAGGGUGCGCUGGCGGUCCGGAAAGUCAGCGGUAAAAGCCCGGGGCUCAACCCCGGCGAGCCGUUGAAACUGUCGGAC
This 305-nucleotide ribosomal RNA is filed under the name uncultured bacterium. Its description in RNAcentral is "bacterial SSU rRNA". It matches the Rfam family "Bacterial small subunit ribosomal RNA", at positions 338 to 641 of the family's 1533-position model. The record is from RNAcentral.